AGCGAACGCUGGCGGCAUGCUUAACACAUGCAAGUUGCACGGGCAGCAAUGUCAGUGGCGGACGGGUGAGUAACGCGUAGGUAUCUAUCCUUGGGUGGGGACGAACUGUGGGAAACGUACAGCUAAUAACCGCAUGAUGACCGAGGUCUAAAGGACGCAAGUCGCCUGGGGCGGGAGCCUGCGUACGAUUAGCUUGUUGGUGGGGUAAGG
This 210-nucleotide ribosomal RNA is filed under the name uncultured bacterium. Its description in RNAcentral is "partial 16S ribosomal RNA". It matches the Rfam family "Bacterial small subunit ribosomal RNA", at positions 29 to 262 of the family's 1533-position model. The record is from RNAcentral.